AGAGACAGCAGUCGCCGCGGGAAUACGGAGGGUGCAAGCGUUAAUCGGAAUUACUGGGCGUAAAGCGCACGCAGGCGGUCUGACAAGUCAGAUGUGAAAUCCCCGGGCUUAACCUGGGAACUGCAUUUGAAACUGUCAGGCUGGAGUCUUGUAGAGGGGGGUGGAAUUCCAGGUGUAGCGGUGAAAUGCGUAGAGAUCUGGAGGAAUACCGGUGGCGAAGGCGGCCCCCUGGACAAAGACUGACGCUCAGGUGCGAAAGCGUGGGGAGCAAACAGGAUUAGAUACCCGGGUAGUCCCUGUCUCUUAUAC
RNAcentral lists this ribosomal RNA (309 nucleotides) under uncultured bacterium. RNAcentral describes it as "partial 16S ribosomal RNA". It matches the Rfam family "Bacterial small subunit ribosomal RNA", at positions 504 to 807 of the family's 1533-position model. The record is from RNAcentral.